UUAACUCAAAUUUGUAUGGAGUUGGAACGUUUGCCUACGUUUGCCGCUAGGGGCGUUGUUCCAACUGCAUACAAAUAUGAGUUA
Molecule: microRNA precursor, 84 nt
Filed under: Bombyx mori (domestic silkworm)
Lineage: Eukaryota; Metazoa; Arthropoda; Insecta; Lepidoptera; Bombycidae
Description: mir-2807 microRNA precursor family
Rfam family: mir-2807 microRNA precursor family
Source: Rfam by way of RNAcentral